Molecule: non-coding RNA, 365 nt
Filed under: Anaerobacillus arseniciselenatis
Lineage: Bacteria; Bacillati; Bacillota; Bacilli; Caryophanales; Bacillaceae
Description: T-box sequence
Rfam family: T-box leader
About the family: Uncharged tRNA acts as the effector for transcription antitermination of genes in the T-box leader family. T-boxes are found upstream of many aminoacyl-tRNA synthetase genes and some amino acid biosynthetic genes usually in Gram-positive bacteria. The anticodon of a specific tRNA base pairs to a specifier sequence within the T-box motif, and the NCCA acceptor tail of the tRNA base pairs to a conserved bulge in the T-box antiterminator hairpin.
Source: RNAcentral
UAAUAUGCUUAGAAUGGGAAGAGUACAUCUGUAAUACCAUCAGAGAGAAAAACUAUUGUUAUAAAAUCCGUAGAAACAUACGUUUAUUGUUACUGUAUCGGAUAUUUAUACAAUGCUGAGAGGUUUUUUUGGAGCUAAAGAUGGAAGGUCGCCCAGGAGCAGCUUUUUUGAAGGGAAAAGUUUUAUUGCCAAUAGUCAUGGCAAUAUCGUUUUUCGUAAUAGAAAAAGCCGGUGGAAAUCCGUUACAUGAAUGAAGUGUGCCGUUGUUUACUUUAAUGAUUAUAAACAGUAUUCAUUGAAGGUAAAUGCAAUUUUACAAUGGCAAACAAAGGUGGUACCGCGAAUUUACUCUCUUCGUCCUUUGA